UACGUAGGGGGCAAGCGUUGUCCGGAUUUAUUGGGCGUAAAGAGCGUGUAGGCGGCCGUACAGGUCAGCUGUGAAAACUCGAGGCUCAACCUCGAGACGUCGGUUGAAACCGUACGGCUAGAGUCCGGAAGAGGAGAGUGGAAUUCCCGGUGUAGCGGUGAAAUGCGCAGAUAUCGGGAAGAACACCCGUGGCGAAGGCGGCUCUCUGGGACGGUACUGACGCUCAGGCACGACAGCGUGGGGAUCAAACAGG
RNAcentral lists this ribosomal RNA (253 nucleotides) under uncultured bacterium. RNAcentral's name for it is "partial 16S ribosomal RNA". It matches the Rfam family "Bacterial small subunit ribosomal RNA", at positions 524 to 776 of the family's 1533-position model. The record is from RNAcentral.